This 250-nucleotide ribosomal RNA is filed under the name uncultured prokaryote. Its description in RNAcentral is "partial 16S ribosomal RNA". It matches the Rfam family "Bacterial small subunit ribosomal RNA", at positions 524 to 773 of the family's 1533-position model. The record is from RNAcentral.
UACGUAGGUGGCGAGCGUUAUCCGGAAUUACUGGGUGUAAAGGGUGUGUAGGCGGGGAGUCAAGUCAGAUGUGAAAAUUAUGGGCUCAACCCAUAACCUGCGUCUGAAACUGAUUCUCUUGAGAGUGGGAGAGGUAAACGGAAUUCCUGGUGUAGCGGUGAAAUGCGUAGAUAUCAGGAGGAACACCGGUGGCGGAGGCGGUUUACUGGACCACAACUGACGCUGAGACACGAAAGCGUGGGGAGCAAUC